This 415-nucleotide long non-coding RNA is filed under the name Monodelphis domestica (gray short-tailed opossum). RNAcentral describes it as "lncRNA (ENSMODG00000043650.1)". The record is from RNAcentral. Lineage: Eukaryota; Metazoa; Chordata; Mammalia; Didelphimorphia; Didelphidae.
UGUGAGGGGUUCUUCAUACUUUGGAGUUCUGAUUUCGAAUUGGAGGCUGGUGAAGAAUCAACUUACUGGACCUAAGACCUUAGACUUGCUCUUAACAAAGGCAUUUGCUCAAAUGGCACAGCAAUAACAACAAUCAGAAAACAUUCCUUCCUGAGACACGCUCUCCCACAAAUACACACAAUGUCCACAGGAAGAGUGGGCUAGAAUUGAGAUUACAAUGGUUCCCACAUCAGCAGAGGAAAAGGGCAAAUAGUGUGCAUGACCAGGAAAUGUGGGACAAGAAAACAAAUGAAAGGCACCCAUGGAGGAGACACAUGAACCUGAAGAGGAGACAAAUAGGGACAAGUAGGGCCAGCAUCCUUCAAAUCUCUCUCCCUGAUGAACUGUUAAAAUCAUCCGGUUAGGUCAUGAUUCU